Molecule: non-coding RNA, 72 nt
Organism: Podarcis lilfordi (Lilford's wall lizard)
Lineage: Eukaryota; Metazoa; Chordata; Lepidosauria; Squamata; Lacertidae
Source: the annotation of a GenBank genome assembly
GACGUGGCGCCAUUGGUCAGUGCGCCUGGCUGUUAGCCAGAAGGUUGGUGGUUUGAAUCCCACCCAGGGACG